GGAAUUUUGGACAAUGGGCGCAAGCCUGAUCCAGCAAUGCCGCGUGAGUGAAGAAGGCCUUCGGGUUGUAAAGCUCUUUUGUCAGGGAAGAAACGGUGGACUCUAAUACAGAUCACUAAUGACGGUACCUGAAGAAUAAGCACCGGCUAACUACGUGCCAGCAGCCGCGGUAAUACGUAGGGUGCAAGCGUUAAUCGGAAUUACUGGGCGUAAAGCGUGCGCAGGCGGUUUGGUAAGACAGAUGUGAAAUCCCUGGGCUCAACCUAGGAAUUGCAUUUGUGACUGCCCGGCUAGAGUGUGUCAGAGGGGGGUAGAAUUCCACGUGUAGCAGUGAAAUGCGUAGAGAUGUGGAGGAAUACCGAUGGCGAAGGCAGCCCCCUGGGAUAACACUGACGCUCAUGCACGAAAGCGUGGGGAGCAAACAGGAUUAGAUACCCUUG
This 440-nucleotide ribosomal RNA is filed under the name uncultured Herminiimonas sp. Its description in RNAcentral is "bacterial SSU rRNA". It matches the Rfam family "Bacterial small subunit ribosomal RNA", at positions 358 to 790 of the family's 1533-position model. Lineage: Bacteria; Pseudomonadati; Pseudomonadota; Betaproteobacteria; Burkholderiales; Oxalobacteraceae. The record is from RNAcentral.